RNAcentral lists this ribosomal RNA (450 nucleotides) under uncultured bacterium. RNAcentral's name for it is "partial 16S ribosomal RNA". It matches the Rfam family "Bacterial small subunit ribosomal RNA", at positions 354 to 796 of the family's 1533-position model. The record is from RNAcentral.
GUGGGGAAUAUUGGACAAUGGGCGAAAGCCUGAUCCAGCCAUGCCGCGUGUGUGAAGAAGGUCUUCGGAUUGUAAAGCACUUUAAGUUGGGAGGAAGGGCAGUAAGUUAAUACCUUGCUGUUUUGACGUUACCGACAGAAUAAGCACCGGCUAACUUCGUGCCAGCAGCCGCGGUAAUACGAAGGGUGCAAGCGUUAAUCGGAAUUACUGGGCGUAAAGUGCGCGUAGGUGGUUCAGCAAGUUGAAGGUGAAAUCCCCGGGCUCAACCUGGGAACUGCCACCAAAACUACUGAGCUAGAGUACGGUAGAGGGUAGUGGAAUUUCCUGUGUAGCGGUGAAAUGCGUAGAUAUAGGAAGGAACAUCAGUGGCGAAGGCGACUACCUGGACUGAUACUGACACUGAGGUGCGAAAGCGUGGGGAGCAAACAGGAUUAGAAACCCCAGUAGUCC